Molecule: non-coding RNA, 2195 nt
Organism: Leptonychotes weddellii (Weddell seal)
Lineage: Eukaryota; Metazoa; Chordata; Mammalia; Carnivora; Phocidae
Source: RefSeq, a predicted model, not a curated record
GGCAGUCGCUCAACCAUCUGAGCCACCCAGGCGCCCCCAAACCCGUCUCUCUUAAGAGGUUUUGAUGCCUAAAAUGCAGUCCCGCUGAGUUUGCUUUCUGUGUAGGCACAUAAAUCAUGUGAGCCCCGUGCCAGCUUCACGAAGUUCAUCUACUAACCGUCCCCAGCUCUAAGAUUGUGUUCUGGUGUGUGUCCUGCUCCGUGCUUGGCUGUGACGGGGGUCACUUACUCUGACAUGAAGCGUGAUUCUCUACAAAUGCAGUACCCAUGUUUGUAACACAUCCCUUAAAUGCUACGUGUAAGGCCACUCACUGUCCCUGUUCCCUGAAACUGAAAGUCUAGGAAGGCCCUCAACCCCCCCCCGACCUGCAGGCCAGGCUGGUCGGUGCUCGGGGGUGCUGUGAGGCGCUCACCACACGGUCGGGCUUUGUAGGGACGAUGGCAGUGUUCAGAGAGCCGGGGAGGAGACGUGCUGACGCGGCCCCCAGGGCUCUGGGGCGGGGGGGGAGCUGCGGCAGGAAGGCCUGAGCCCCGCCACGGCUUGCUACCAGCAGGGACCCUCUGCUGCUCAUAAGGGACCCCUCUGCCUGCUCCAUGGCUCAGCGCUCCCCUGCGUCCUUAGCACCCCAGUCGCAGGGUGUCUGACCCAGGGCAGGAGCCUGGCAGGAAGAGCGCGGCCCGGCCCAUCAGACUGAGGGCUGCCUCAGCGUGGGAACGCUGCUAUGGCACGUUACCCGUUUAGUCCACAAGCGUGCUGGGCACAGUGUGCGCCAGAGAACAGAACAGACAAGAGUCUCCAUCGCUGGGGACCCUCGCCUCUUUCAGGGGCGUCGGAUGGUGAUCAAGAUACAGAAGCGAGUGCGGGAGACGGUGGCGGAGCCCAGGAGGGGCUGCUGGCUGACACCUUGCUCUGGGGGGCCUCGGGGGGAAAACCUGGGCAAGAGGAGGAGAGGGCAGGAGCUUGAGCACCAGGCCCUUGGAGGGACGGCUGGAGCCAGGUCACAGUAGGCACUGCAGACUCGAGAUGAGGGGACAGUUGACCUAGGAAGCCGGCCGAGGAUCUCAAGCAAAAGUAAAUCAGCCUGCCGAGGCAUUCACAGGCCCACCAGCCACUGCGUGGGACGACCCCGAAGCAGGCCCCCGGAUCUGGCAAGAUGAGGCGUGGCCUGGGUGUGCUCUAAGUCCAGGCUAGGAUUUGCUGGCAGGCUGAUGGAGGCUGAGUGGGGAGAAGGGGCGAUGUCGGGGGUCUCUCCGAGCGUGUGCCCGGGGCUCUGGCUCCUGAUCUGCAACAGUGCAGGCUGGGGCAGCGGCUCAGCCUGGUCAGGAGAAGCUGGGUCCUGGGACCCCCAAGGAGAGAAGGCUUGAACCCAUGGUCACUCGCACCGAGGGCUGUGAGCCUGGGAACCAGGAAGAGCCUGCCUAGCGUGAGGAGCCAGGAACGGGAGGCGGCUGAGGAGAUGGGGCUCCUGGGGUGCCCCAGGCAUCCGUGGAGAAGGGUGACAGUCACGUGCUGCCCAGAGUCCGUGGGCGCUGAGGAGGGUGAGCCACUGGGAAGCGGCAGCAGGGACAGGAGCCCGUAGUGGGGCUUGUGAGGGGAAGACACACAUUUGGGCGUUCACGGCUCAUAGAGCUCUGUUACUUGUUGGUAGAAGGUCUGAAAACGAAGAACUUAUUUUCGGCAUCAAAAUGCGUCCUGGACAGACUCUCACUGUGCAGCCAUCUGUCCCUGAUCUUUCUGUUUUUGUUCUUAGGGGAAAGAAGGCCCCUCAGUGGAGGCGGAGAGUCAGGACACACAAGGAGGGAAAGCAGCCCCACCGCCGGCUCCAGAGGUCCCAGAUAAUCACUAUUUAGAUAAUUUGUGCAUCUUCUGUGGGGAAAGGAGUGAGUCCUUCACAGAAGAGGGGCUGGACCGUCACUACUGGAAGCGCUGCCCCGUGCUGACGAGGUGCGCCCACUGCAAACAGGUGGUGGAGAUCUCCAGCCUGACGGAGCACUUGCUGACAGAAUGCGACAAGAAAGACGGGUUUGGAAAGUGUUACCGCUGCAGCGAGGCUGUUCUGAAGGAAGAGCUGCCCAGACACAUAAAAACGAAGGAGUGUAACCCUGCCAAACCAGAGAAGCUGGCAAAUCGGUGUCCUCUGUGCCAUGAGAACUUCUCCCCUGGAGAGCAGGCGUGGAAAGCUCACCUCAUGGGCC